RNAcentral lists this ribosomal RNA (600 nucleotides) under Triticum aestivum (bread wheat). RNAcentral's name for it is "partial small subunit ribosomal RNA". Lineage: Eukaryota; Viridiplantae; Streptophyta; Magnoliopsida; Poales; Poaceae. The record is from RNAcentral.
AUGCUCGGUAAGGUAGCAACAUAUGUGUAUGUCGUUGAGUUUCAGAAAAGAGGUCUACCACAUGCUCAUUUCCUCCUAAUCAUGAAGGGGAGGUACAAGCUAACUUGCCCAGAGCAAUAUGACUGUCUAAUAUCUGCUGAAUUGCCAGACAAAUCCAAGUACCCAGAGUUGUACAAAAUGGUCGUCAAGCACAUGAUGCAUGGCCCUUGUGGAGUCCUCAACCCCAAGAACGUGUGCAUGCAAAAUGGUAGCUGCAAGAACUACUAUCCACAACCAUUUAAUGCGUCAACCCUUCAGGGAAAGGACUCAUAUCCCAUAUACCGGAGGAGAGAUGAUGGACGUCGUGCGAAGGUACGGGGUGAAGAUUUAGACAAUAGGUGGGUUGUUCCAUACAAUCCUUACCUACUAAGAAGGUAUAACUGCCACAUCAAUGUUGAGGUUUGCUCAAGCAUAAAAGCUGUGAAGUACCUCUUUAAAUACAUAUAUAAGGGGCAUGAUCGAGCAUCUGUUUCUAUCGACGCGGUGGAUAGUGACGGAAACAUUGAUGAAAUAAAGAAAUACAGAGAUUCCAGAUGGGUUACACCACCAGAAGCAUUAUGA